GUGAAUCAUCAAAUCUUUGAACGCAUAUUGCACUCUCUGGUAUUCCGGAGAGUAUGCCUGUUUGAGGGUCAGUCUAAAAAAAAUCGACGUAGUCGCUGUUUCGCGGUGACAUUCGUCGGAAAUUGGGUUAUCUUAAAUCUUUGGGUUUGUUAAGCGGAUUAUAAUUUUCUUUAUGAUUCUACGAACGUUUCUAAGAUUUUACUUCUUACACACGUUUAAGGUAUUGAUCUUUAUUAGAGGUGGCCGUUGUAUCGGA
RNAcentral lists this unclassified non-coding RNA (256 nucleotides) under Glomeraceae sp. Its description in RNAcentral is "partial contains 5.8S ribosomal RNA and internal transcribed spacer 2". The stretch from base 1 to 71 matches the Rfam family "5.8S ribosomal RNA", at positions 84 to 154 of the family's 154-position model. The record is from RNAcentral. Lineage: Eukaryota; Fungi; Glomeromycota; Glomeromycetes; Glomerales; Glomeraceae.